Molecule: long non-coding RNA, 476 nt
Filed under: Lathyrus oleraceus (garden pea)
Lineage: Eukaryota; Viridiplantae; Streptophyta; Magnoliopsida; Fabales; Fabaceae
Description: Pisum sativum (pea) long non-coding RNA (PSAT_LNC010900)
Source: RNAcentral
CAUGUUUGAAUGGCAUGGCUUGUGAUAAUGUAUAGCAUUAUGUGAAUGAAUGUUGAUUUUCUUUAGGUUUUGCAGGGCUACUUUAGGCACUAUGAAGGAAUGAGGUCUUGGUCAUGGCAUGGUAUGUUUAGGUGCGUGGAGGCUUCAAACAUCAAAAGGCCAAGUUCAUGCACAUACUUAAAGCAAGGCAAAGUCAAUAGAUCAAAGUGUGGAAUCAAAACAUGGACCAUCAUCAUGAAGAAACUUGAAGACCAAGAUGAAGUGGCUUAUGGAAGAGUAAAGAGGGGGGAAUUAGGGUCUAGGACUAGGUACUUUGACUUUGAUCAAUUGUUGACCAAAAAUUCAACAGUUGACCAAAAGUCAACCCUAGGUUAAUUGGUGUAAAUUUGUGUAGAAUUUGAUUUUUUUGAGGUUGUAAUGAAUAUUUGAAUGUGUGUGUGAUGAAAUGGCCUUUGAAAUGCAAAUGUGACUUGUUU